UACGGGGGGGCAAGCGUUGGUUCGGAAUUACUGGGCGUAAAGGGCUCGUAGGUGGCCAACUAAGUCAGACGUGAAAUCCCUCAGCUUAACUGGGGAACUGCGUCUGAUACUGGAUGGCUUGAGAUUGGGAGAGGGAUGCGGAAUUCCAGGUGUAGCGGUGAAAUGCGUAGAUAUCUGGAGGAACACCGGUGGCGAAGGCGGCAUCCUGGACCAACACUGACACUGAGGAGCGAAAGCCAGGGGAGCAAACGGG
RNAcentral lists this ribosomal RNA (253 nucleotides) under uncultured bacterium. RNAcentral describes it as "partial 16S ribosomal RNA". It matches the Rfam family "Bacterial small subunit ribosomal RNA", at positions 524 to 776 of the family's 1533-position model. The record is from RNAcentral.